Long non-coding RNA from Taeniopygia guttata (zebra finch), 3441 nucleotides. The record is from Ensembl. NCBI's taxonomy places the organism in Eukaryota, Metazoa, Chordata, Aves, Passeriformes, Estrildidae.
AUGUCUCACACUCACCCACUGCUCCCUCUCCACAUAUCUUUGGGCAGCUACAAGAGGCAGGUUGCUGUGAGGGUAGGGGCAUUUCCCUCCAUGGUUCCCUGCUGGUUCUUUGUGGCCAUGCUGGCCCCUCUGGUGUUAGCCCUGGAACAGUCUCCAGACAUGGUGAUAAAAGAAGGCCAGUCCGUGAAUCUGGAAUGUUCCAAAAAGAAAUCCUCUAGUACAGCUAUGUACUGGUUCAUACUGCCUUCAGAGAAGAAUUCCAGUCUGACCCUCCUGGCUUCUGCAAUAGAACGUGGUAACCCAGCGGUGGAGAAGGGUUUUGAGAGCCAUUUCAAGAGCAGCAAGAUAAAAGGAGACAGUAUCACCCUCUCAAUAGAACAUGCCUUUCUCAAUGACUCUGGCACCUACUACUGUGCUGAGAGUGGUCACAGUGCUGUAUCUUCUGAGGGAGCUGAGCACAAACUUCUCCCUGCACAUACAGGACCUGCUUUCCCCCUUGUGGUUGCUGCAGAAGGCUUCUCACUCAUUAGCUGCUGUGCUUCCUAGCCUUGCCUUCAUCCUCUUCUCAGAUGCUGAUAGUCUGUAUGUCCAUUUUUUCUCCCUUGCCACUCCAGGCUUCCCUCUGCAUUUAAGUCUUACUUGCACUACACUUGAUUCUGUCAGCCCCUCUUCUCCUCUCUGUCUCACUUUCCUUCCCCACUCUCAUCUUUCUGUCUUCAAUCUGCCCUUCAAUGCCUUCAUCCCAACCUCUUUGGUUUUUUCUCCUACUUCUUUAGAGGAACCUGGGGUCUUCCCUGAAUCUUUCUAGGAAGCUUGGGGAAAUGAUUGCAAUGGGACACACUCAGAGCUGCAGCAGAGGUCUUGGGAGUGGCUGGAGGCAUUGCUGCUCUCCUCCGCUGACAGGACACAGGGAACAUCUUCACUGCAAAGCCCAGGACAGCCUUGAGCAGUCGCCUCACUUGAUGUCCUGUAUGGGCCAGCCUCAUUCUGCUGUGCACACAGCACAGCACGGAUGGGUAGAGCCUCUGUCACACCUCUGUACCCAAACUCAGUGCACACAAACUACGAGUGUCUCUUCCUGCCUUCAGAGGUGUCUCACUGCUUUGGUCAGGUGAACAAGGCUCUGUACAGAGCAGAGGACAUGGUUUUCUCCAGCUUUGUCCAUUUGUGUCCUGCUGCUCUUUUGCAGAGUGCUUCAAUAAAGAGGCAAGGAGAAUAUUGAUUCUUCUCUGGCAUGGAGAAGGUCAGUGUGUAGCAGCAUAUCCUGAGGGGCACAGUUCUCUCCUCAGAAAUCCUUCUGAGGUGCAGUCUCUCAAGGGGCAGUCCCAGUGCAGGGACUGCACUGCUGCAAAGGCAGCCUGUUGUCCCCUUGAGAUUCUCUGCCAGGCUCCAAGAGACUAAUGCUUGGCAGGUCAGUAGCUCUUCCCAUACCUGGGUAUCACGUCAGGCCUGACUGGAGUAAGUAGUGAUUCCACAUUGCAGCUUGCUGGGCUGGGAGUCUGUGAGUGUGAGGAUGGCUUGGCAGGAGACAAACAGAGGGACACAGACACAAACAUGCGUUCCUAAGAUCUCCUGCUCUUCCCAUCAAUUUCUGCCAUUUUGUGCAUGCCUGUGCACACACUCAGGCUGCCACACAGCCCCAUCCUGCUCCAUGAUAGCUCUGAACCAUGCUACCUACUGAAGUCCCAGCUACUCCUGCACAGCCACGUUCACACACAGCAGGGAGCCAGAGGAGCAGAGUACAAGCACCUCAUGACUGCCUGCAGGUGUCAUUGCCCACCGUUCCUGGACAGCCAACAGCCUUGUGACAUUUCAGACUCCCGCUCACUCCCCUGCCCACCCACAGAGAGACGGAUCUCUUCCUCUCCACCUCUCCUCUUUACACACCUCUGUGUCUGUGCUGUCACCAGGGGCAGGUGGCUGGCAGGAAGGGAUUUUCUCUAUGGAUUUCCAGUGGUUCCAUGUGGCCAUGCUGCUCCCUGUGGGUAAGUGGGCUUCCCUUCCUCUUGAGCAGCUGCACUGGAGCUGCUAUUGCUGCAUCCUCAGAUGUGCUCCAAGUUGCUGGCAGUGCCCCUUUACCAAGGGUUCCAGGGGGGAAGGUGGGCAGUGAACCAGGUGAGCCUUUCCACCACCUAUUGAAUCAGGAAACUCUGGAAGACUGAAAAUUUGUUUUUUCCUGCCCCUUUUUAAUACUUUACUUAAGAGUACCAACGCCAUUUCUUCUCAAAACAUAUUGACUGUUACAUUUGAAUCUGGUUUGUUUGGGGUUUUUUCAUACCAUGAAACUUUUUUCAGAGAAGCAGGUCACUGUCCCAUAGCUUUCUGAUAUGCUGGCGGCUAUACAUGGCAUACUUCAAGGAUGUGUAUUUUUGUCUUCUUCAAUGCAUUUCACUUCCCACCUUUCAUCUCCUGUCUUUCCAGGCUGGGCCCUUCAGCAAUCACCAGAUACAAUCGUCCGGGUGGGAGACACCGUGACUCUGGAAUGUUCUGCAUCAGGGAAAAACGUUAUAUAUAUGUACUGGUACAAGCUACCCAUGGAGAAGGAUGCCAGUAUGCAGUUGGUUGUAUAUUCCGUGGAAGGUGGCAAAGCAGAUAUUGAGAAGGAAUUCAAAAAUCGCUUCCAGAGCAGUGGGACUAGGAACAACCAUUUAUCUGUGAAGAUACAGCCUGCCCUCCUCAAUGACACAGGCACAUAUUACUGUGCUGAACAAGAUACACAGUGACUCAAAGGCAGGUGCAGCAUUGCACAAUGGUCUCCAGGCAAACAGGGAUCUGCCACCAGCACACCCUGAGCACUGUUUUUGACAGAACCCCAUUUUCUUACCUGACAUUUGGUCUUACAGGAAAAACAGGGCAUGACUGUCUGUCCAACUUUCCACCUGUGUGUCCAUCUAUCUGUCGUUCUGUCUUUAGCAUGGUGUAUAGCUGCUUUUCUGUUCUAUCCCAUCUCUGAAUCACCAUCUAAUUCUGCUCCCUUGUUGUCCCCACUGUCACACCUCAUUUUUCUGCCAUUCACAGACUGUUUCUCACUUUCCUGCUUAGCACUUGCAUAUACUUUUCCUCAUGAUUUCCAUGGAAAUUUCCCCUUCAGAGAAACACUGAAUAGGGUGACACCACAUGAGCCUCCUCCUUCGUAUUGUUAUCAGACAAAAAUUCCGCCAGGGAUCCUAGCCGAAUUCCACUUCUUUGUCCUUCCAUACAGUCAGGCAGAGCUCUAGGCACACAAAGGAGAAGGAUGAGGGAAAUAUACUCCCAGCACACCUCGCCAGACACCUUCCCUGUGUCCCUUUCACCCCUUGCCACUGUCCCAGAUGUUAUUUAUCCCAGUGAUCACUGGGUUCCCCAGAUAUCCCAUGCAGACUUUGUGGAGCAGAGGACACGUGGAUUUUCUUCAGAGCAGAAACACCUGAGGGCACAGUGGAGAAGCUGCAGUGGCCUGGG